This 433-nucleotide ribosomal RNA is filed under the name uncultured bacterium. Its description in RNAcentral is "partial 16S ribosomal RNA". It matches the Rfam family "Bacterial small subunit ribosomal RNA", at positions 29 to 507 of the family's 1533-position model. The record is from RNAcentral.
AACGAACGCUGGCGGCAGGCCUAACACAUGCGAGUCGAGCGAGGACUUCGGUUCUAGCGGCGGACGGGUGAGUAACGCGUGGGAAUGUGCCCUUCUCUACGGAAUAGCCCUGGGAAACUGGGAGUAAUACCGUAUACGCCCUUUUGGGGAAAGAUUUAUCGGAGAAGGAUCAGCCCGCGUUGGAUUAGGUAGUUGGUGGGGUAAUGGCCUACCAAGCCGACGAUCCAUAGCUGGUUUGAGAGGAUGAUCAGCCUCACUGGGACUGAGACACGGCCCAGACUCCUACGGGAGGCAGCAGUGGGGAAUCUUAGACAAUGGGGGCAACCCCGAUCUAGCCAUGCCGCGUGAGUGAUGAAGGCCUUAGGGUUGUAAAGCUCUUUCAGCUGGGAAGAUAAUGACGGUACCAGCAGAAGAAGCCCCGGCUAACUCCGUG